UAUUAAAUAUUGAUGAGAAGAGUAACUAAUCGAUGACUCCCAGAGAGUGCCUGUUUUGCUGAAAAGGUAUCGCCUGAAAUUAGUGAAGAUGAGCUUAGAGUAUUAAACAGGUUAACGCUAUGUUUACGGUCCGCAACCGUUAUGUUGCACAACCCAAGAUUUAUGGGUUUUGAGGCAAUCAAUUUGAUUGUAAAUAUAGGUGGCACCGCGGUCUAAUCGUAAUCGUCCUUGUA
RNAcentral lists this non-coding RNA (233 nucleotides) under Paucilactobacillus wasatchensis. Its description in RNAcentral is "Lactobacillus wasatchensis T-box sequence". It matches the Rfam family "T-box leader". From Rfam's summary of the family: Uncharged tRNA acts as the effector for transcription antitermination of genes in the T-box leader family. T-boxes are found upstream of many aminoacyl-tRNA synthetase genes and some amino acid biosynthetic genes usually in Gram-positive bacteria. The record is from RNAcentral. Lineage: Bacteria; Bacillati; Bacillota; Bacilli; Lactobacillales; Lactobacillaceae.